UCUGGUCAGGACGAACGCUGGCGGCGUGCCUAACACAUGCAAGUCGAGCGAGGAGAUUCCUUCGGGAUGAUCCUAGCGGCGGACGGGUGAGUAACACGUGGGCAACCUGCCUCAUAGAGAGGAAUAGCCUUCCGAAAGGGAGAUUAAUACCUCAUAACAUUGCAGUUUCGCAUGGAACAGCAAUUAAAGGAGUAAUCCGCUAUGAGAUGGGCCCGCGGCGCAUUAGCUAGUUGGUGAGGUAAUGGCUCACCAAGGCGACGAUGCGUAGCCGACCUGAGAGGGUGAUCGGCCACAUUGGGACUGAGACACGGCCCAGACUCCUACGGGAGGCAGCAGUGGGGAAUAUUGCACAAUGGGGGAAACCCUGAUGCAGCCAACGCCGCGUGAGUGAUGACGGCCUUCGGGUUGUAAAGCUCUGUCUUCAGGGACGAUAAUGACGGUACCUGAGGAGGAAGCCACGGCUAACUACGUGCCAGCAGCUGC
Molecule: ribosomal RNA, 483 nt
Filed under: uncultured bacterium
Lineage: Bacteria
Description: bacterial SSU rRNA
Rfam family: Bacterial small subunit ribosomal RNA
Source: RNAcentral